Long non-coding RNA from Lucilia cuprina (Australian sheep blowfly), 1787 nucleotides. RefSeq lists it as uncharacterized. NCBI's taxonomy places the organism in Eukaryota, Metazoa, Arthropoda, Insecta, Diptera, Calliphoridae. The record is from RefSeq and is a predicted model, not a curated record. The transcript is spliced from 3 exons.
UAAUAUAAUAAACGCUUAUAAAUUCAAUUUCUGAAGAAAAAGGUAAAUUGAGCAGACAAUUUAGCCGCCGCCGACAUAAAAUGGUUGCGCCGCCGUCGAUCAUUUUGCAUAUAUUUUGUUUAAGUUCAAAUCGAUUUUUUGCGGUAUUUUUCCUCUAAGUGUAAAUCCUUAUGAUUUACUACUUUAGUUUACAUUUUUGAUGGAAAACUAUUAUUAAUUCAACGAGUUAACCGCUAACUGUAUUUAAACUUUGUAAGCCUCCUUAGAAAUAAGUGGUUGUUUAUCACUCGACAUAUAGAAGCCUUAAAGAGUACUUCUUGUGUGCAUACUUUCUUAAGCCGAAUAUAUAUAUGAAUACAUAAUAACGGGUCACCACUAUGAUGUAACAUUUUGGAAUACAAUUAUUAUUUCGUUAAUGUGAAGGAAAAAAGUACAAAAAAGGAAACGUGAAAUUUGUUUUUAUUCAAACACAAUGAACCAAUUUGAAUACCAAUUUUAGAAUUAGAAACAUUAAAUAUGUUGUUGUUGUUGCCACCUGGACGAAGGAGGUAAACUUGAACCUAGGCGUCGUAGUCGAUGGAAACCAAAUACCGACUGUGAACCACCCUAACAUUUUGGGGGUCACCUUUUACAGCCUGUUUACUUCCUCAGCUCAUUCCACUGCAAUUACGCACAAAUUGCGAAGUAGAAACAAGGUCCUCAAAGCGCUAGCCGACAGCACUUGGGGAAUGGACAAAGAAACCUUGUUGGCUACCUAUAAAACAAUUGGCCGGUCAGUGGUCAAUUAUGCUGCUCCAGUGUGGUUUCCAUCGCUGAGUGAUACCCAGUUGAGAAAUAUUCAAAGCUGCCCUUAAGACUGUAACGGGCUGCAUGCAAACAACCUCAGAACACCAUCUACAUGAGGAAACGAAGGUCCUACCAGUCAAGGAACAUAAUGUCAUGCUGACUAAACAGUUCCUCCUGUGAUGUCGCCGGAGGAGUAAUCCCAACUAACAUCACACAGUUAGAUGCUCCCCGUAGGCAUGUCAGGAAAGACCUUCGUGUAUACGAAGAGAGCAUACGAAGUUAUGUUCAUUAUCCCUUAGAUCGAACUUCGUAUACAGCAGCUUUGAACGACAUUCAUAGAGACGCCAUCAAUACCGCGGUUUCAGGUUACCGCAUGAAUGUCGUUCUUGGAGGUCAUCCACCGCCCAUAGCAGAAAUAGAGAAGAACCUGAGUUGCUCUGGCAUAACUGAGAUCGGGAUGGAACAACAGGCUCAACGCCUACUGGUCCCACAUAGAUCGUGCCGUCCCCAAUAUAUGCCCAGCUUGUGGACAGAAUCCCCAUGAUAUCCACCACAUAUUCAACUGUCAAACCCACCCUACUUCACUUAGCCCAAUGGAUUUAUGGACUAACCCAAUUGAAGUAGCCCAAUUUCUUGGCUUGGACCUAAAUACAGAUUAAAAAUUGUAUGGUUUAAGCCAGCCAAGCGCAGUAGGUUUGCACUGCGAGAAGUGAAAUGAUUGAUUCAAAUAUGCAAUGUAGAAAAAGAAGUCAGUGUCGCAGCAUUUAUUUGUUUUACAUGAAUUAUUUAUUUCUUGAAUGAAUUAUUUAAUGAAUAUUUAAUCAAUAUAUAAAUGAAUGAAUUAAUGAAGUAAUUAAUGAAUCAAUGAAUUAGUGAAUAAAAUAAUUACUUUAUGUAUGCAUCAAUUAAUGAAAUGAUGAAUGAAUUAAUCAUUUUAUAAAUUAAUAUAUGACUAAUUAAAAUAAUAAACAAUUAAGUGAAUAAAUUAACUCAUAGAAUUA